This 517-nucleotide ribosomal RNA is filed under the name uncultured bacterium. RNAcentral's name for it is "partial 16S ribosomal RNA". It matches the Rfam family "Bacterial small subunit ribosomal RNA", at positions 29 to 523 of the family's 1533-position model. The record is from RNAcentral.
AACGAACGCUGGCGGCGUGGAUAAGACAUGCAAGUCGAACGGGAUUUUUUUCUGUAGCAAUACAGGAAAAAGUCUAGUGGCGAACGGGUGCGUAACACGUGAGCAACCUGCCGUGAAGUGGGGGAUAGCUCGCCGAAAGGCGAAUUAAUACCGCAUGUGGCCAAGGAAGACAUCUUCCUGACGCCAAAGCCGGGGCAACCUGGCGCUUCUCGAGGGGCUCGCGGCCUAUCAGCUUGUUGGUGAGGUAACGGCUCACCAAGGCUAGGACGGGUAGCUGGUCUGAGAGGACGACCAGCCACACUGGAACUGAGACACGGUCCAGACACCUACGGGUGGCAGCAGUCGAGAAUUUUUCACAAUGGGGGAAACCCUGAUGGAGCGACGCCGCGUGGAGGAUGAAGGUUUUCGGAUUGUAAACUCCUGUCAUUAGAGAACAAGGCACACGGUUUAACUGACCGUGUGUUGAUAGUAUCUGAAGAGGAAGAGACGGCUAACUCUGUGCCAGCAGCCGCCGUAA